CCUACGGGGUGCAGCAGUGGGGAAUAUUGCACAAUGGGGGAAACCCUGAUGCAGCGACACCGCGUGAGCGAUGAAGUAUUUCGGUAUGUAAAGCUCUAUCAGCAGGGAAGAAAAUGACGGUACCUGACUAAGAAGCCCCGGCUAACUACGUGCCAGCAGCCGCGGUAAUACGUAGGGGGCAAGCGUUAUCCGGCUUUACUGGGUGGAAAGGGAGCGUAGACGGCUGUGCAAGCCAGAUGUGAAAGCCCAGGGCUCAACCCCGGGACUGCAUUUGGAACUGUGUGGCUGGAGUGUCGGAGAGGCAGGCGGAAUUCCUAGUGUAGCGGUGAAAUGCGUAGAUAUUAGGAGGAACACCAGUGGCGAAGGCGGCCUGCUGGACGAUGACUGACGUUGAGGCUCGAAAGCGUGGGGAGCAAACAGGAUUAGAUACCCCUGUAGUC
RNAcentral lists this ribosomal RNA (440 nucleotides) under uncultured bacterium. Its description in RNAcentral is "partial 16S ribosomal RNA". It matches the Rfam family "Bacterial small subunit ribosomal RNA", at positions 338 to 795 of the family's 1533-position model. The record is from RNAcentral.